Molecule: ribosomal RNA, 244 nt
Filed under: uncultured Staphylococcus sp.
Lineage: Bacteria; Bacillati; Bacillota; Bacilli; Caryophanales; Staphylococcaceae
Description: partial 16S ribosomal RNA
Rfam family: Bacterial small subunit ribosomal RNA
Source: RNAcentral
CGGCGGACGGGUGAGUAACACGUGGAUAACCUACCUAUAAGACUGGGAUAACUUCGGGAAACCGGAGCUAAUACCGGAUAAUAUUUUGAACCGCAUGGUUCAAAAGUGAAAGACGGUCUUGCUGUCACUUAUAGAUGGAUCCGCGCUGCAUUAGCUAGUUGGUAAGGUAACGGCUUACCAAGGCAACGAUGCAUAGCCGACCUGAGAGGGUGACCGGCCACACUGGAACUGAGACACGGUCCAG